RNAcentral lists this small nuclear RNA (94 nucleotides) under Sorex araneus (European shrew). Lineage: Eukaryota; Metazoa; Chordata; Mammalia; Eulipotyphla; Soricidae. The record is from RNAcentral.
GCCAUGUGCAAUGCAAAUGCUAAAAUUGGAAUGAUACAGAGAAGAUUAGCAUAGCCCCUGUGCAAGGAUGACACAAAAAUUUAAUUCUAUAUUA